UUCCGGUCAGUUGCCUGAUGUAGUGCAG
RNAcentral lists this small RNA (28 nucleotides) under Bombyx mori (domestic silkworm). RNAcentral's name for it is "ovarian small RNA-37234". The record is from RNAcentral. Lineage: Eukaryota; Metazoa; Arthropoda; Insecta; Lepidoptera; Bombycidae.